This 655-nucleotide long non-coding RNA is filed under the name Olea europaea (common olive). Its description in RNAcentral is "long non-coding RNA (OEUR_LNC004713)". The record is from RNAcentral. Lineage: Eukaryota; Viridiplantae; Streptophyta; Magnoliopsida; Lamiales; Oleaceae.
ACACAAUAGCCUUGUUUUUAUCUUCUUUUUCCUCCUACCCCCACCCGAAGCUCCAACAAUGAAUUCCUCUCAGCCGCUGACCACUACCUUUCAAAUCUUCUUAACCCAUUCUCAAAACCCUAAUUAAUUCCUAAAUUAAUCACUCUAAUGGCAUUCUCAGUCUCCCCGUUGUACUCCACAACUUCAUUUCACAAACAAUUUCUCUUUUUUAAAAACCUCUCUAAUUUCAAUUUCACAUAAUCCCCAAACCCUAAUUAAUUCCUAAAUUAAUCACUCCAAUGGCUUUUUAGAGUUCCAAGUUAAGGAAAGGAUACAGCGGAAAAGUCAAAAUUUUGGGGGAAUGUAUGGCCUCUGGCGAUAUCAUUUAUGGGCUUUCAAAUGAUCCAAUUAAAUAUGAUAGAAAUGGUUGAGAAAAAUGAUAAGUAAUAUUGGGAGGAUGAGUUCACCACAAUAUUGUAGUUUGUUUUUCACUUUUAUUUUUUAUUGUAUUAGGAGUAUAAAUGUAAAUUUGUGUAGUGUGCUUAUUUGAAAAUAUAUUUUAAUUGUAGUGUGAUUAUAUCGCUCUAAUUACCCUUCUUGAAAUUAUCUGUAAUUUUCUUGAUAUCUGCAUAUGAAUAUCUCCAAGGCCUAACAGCCAUGUAAUCCUCUAUAAAGC